RNAcentral lists this long non-coding RNA (484 nucleotides) under Mus musculus (house mouse). Its description in RNAcentral is "predicted gene, 36747, transcript variant 2 (Gm36747)". Lineage: Eukaryota; Metazoa; Chordata; Mammalia; Rodentia; Muridae. The record is from RNAcentral.
AAGCCAUUCUUAAAGCAAUGGGCUUCAUGUAUCUGAAUUCCCUGAAGGAGAGUUCUGGGGACACCAAAUCAUCAGAGGAAUGUGGCAAUGCUGAAGUUACUCAUGAUACCCAUACCACCUUUUCAAUAGAGGAAUAGUAUGAUCUCAUCUUAAGUGACAUGAACCAGUAGAAUGUGUACAGAAACUGGAAAAGUUCUUGAGACCAAUCAACAAUACAAAGAACGGAAAACAUGUCUGUGAAGUCUGAUAAAAGCUAGCAAGAGAGAAGAGAAGGGGCAGUUGACUUCCCUGAGCUGGGACAAACAGCCACAACGAGCAGAUGAGAAACAACAGAGCAAUGAAGCCUCUUCAGAAAUUUCGUGACAUGGAAUUUGAACCACUUGGAUGGAGGAGAAGUGUCAUUGUCUAAUGGCACCAACAUCAUAGGUUUGUGGGUAUUUGCUCCAUUGUGCCCAAAAUAAACUCAGUGUCUUCUCAGUCUCUA